GACGAACGCUGGCGGCGUGCUUAACACAUGCAAGUCGAACGGAAAUUCUCUGCUUGCAGGUUGCUCGAGUGGCGAACGGGUGAGUAACACGUGGGUGAUCUGCUCCUUACUUUGGGAUAAGCCUGGGAAACUGGGUCUAAUACUGGAUAGGACCAUUCUUUAGGCGUUGUGGUAGUUAGAGUAGUUUCGGUAAGUGAUGAGCUCGCGUCCUAUCAGGUUGUUGUGGGGGUAAUGGCCUAACACGGCGUCGUCGGGUAGCCGGCCUGAGAGGGAGGAAGACAACAUUGGAACUGCGACACGGGGCAGCAUCAUACGGGCGGCAGCAGUGGGGAAUAUUGAGAUAUAGGAGCGAGGCUGAUGCAGCGACGGUGCGUGGGGCAUGAAGGCCUUCGGGUUGUAAACUCCUUGCAGCAAUGAAGAAGCCCUUGUGGUGACGGUAGUGGUCGAAGAAGCACCGGCUAACUACGUG
RNAcentral lists this ribosomal RNA (469 nucleotides) under uncultured bacterium. Its description in RNAcentral is "partial 16S ribosomal RNA". It matches the Rfam family "Bacterial small subunit ribosomal RNA", at positions 28 to 507 of the family's 1533-position model. The record is from RNAcentral.